RNAcentral lists this microRNA (18 nucleotides) under Corchorus olitorius. RNAcentral's name for it is "tgu-miR-29". Lineage: Eukaryota; Viridiplantae; Streptophyta; Magnoliopsida; Malvales; Malvaceae. The record is from RNAcentral.
CAGGGCCGGGCGGCCGGG